This 253-nucleotide ribosomal RNA is filed under the name uncultured bacterium. RNAcentral's name for it is "partial 16S ribosomal RNA". It matches the Rfam family "Bacterial small subunit ribosomal RNA", at positions 524 to 776 of the family's 1533-position model. The record is from RNAcentral.
GACGUAGGGCGCGAGCGUUGUCCGGAUUUAUUGGGCGUAAAGAGCUCGUAGGCGGCUUGUCGCGUCGUCCGUGAAAACCCACAGCUCAACUGUGGGCUUGCGGUCGAUACGGGCAGGCUAGAGUUCGGUAGGGGAGACUGGAAUUCCUGGUGUAGCGGUGAAAUGCGCAGAUAUCAGGAGGAACACCGGUGGCGAAGGCGGGUCUCUGGGCCGAUACUGACGCUGAGGAGCGAAAGCAUGGGGAGCGAACAGG